This is a non-coding RNA of Arachis ipaensis, 1089 nucleotides long. The record is from RefSeq and is a predicted model, not a curated record. NCBI's taxonomy places the organism in Eukaryota, Viridiplantae, Streptophyta, Magnoliopsida, Fabales, Fabaceae.
CAUAAUCACGAGAAGUCACUUAUCUUUUAUCACAAAUUUCAUAUCAAAAACACAAAUCAAUACUCAAUGAAUCAGAGACAUUCAAAUCCAAUAAUCCAAGUACUUCGGAGACAUUCAAAUUCUGCUUAUAGCAUCCAACAAUAUACAAAUUUCCACCAUUAGCAUAAGAGUAAGCUUAUGCCAUUAGCAACCAUACAGUGUAAACUCCGCCUAACAGAGUGAGUUUUCACCCUUAGCAACCAUACAUAUAAAUUUCCACUGAACUAAUUUUGCACAUAACAGACGGAAUCAAACUUCAAACCAAGACCCAACCCAAGAUCGAAGAAGAAGAAUCCAAGAACCGAACUCCAGAACAAAAAUGCAAGCCAAGACCGAAGAAGACUUGAAGAAAAAAAAGAAACAAAAAUUCAAGAAGAAGACCACACCCUCAGUGAAGAUGAGGACGAUAAGCCACUAACCUGGGUCCGUGCCGAGAAGCCAGCAAAGAUGAAGACCCGGCGAGGACCUACCGAGUUACUGGGUCAGGCGGUGACGAUGGAGGAUCUGGGUUAGGCGGCGAGGAUGGAGGAAGAAGCUGCGGUGCUUGGGACCUUGGACGGCGUCGGCGCCGAGGACCUUUGUCAGUCGGCGACCAUGCAGGGCUAGGCGGAGGUCAACACCGUGAGGGUUUCUUUGAAUCUGCUUUCUCCUGUACGUGUAUCAAUGAUUGUUUCAGGGAACAAGGGGAGGGGGUUGGGUCACGAGCGAGGUUUGGGGUUUACCUGGGUCCUUUUUUUUGUUAACAGAUUAAAAAAAAGCAUCAAAAUAUUUUGGUCCAACAACAAAAAACGGGCCACAAGGCUUGGGCCCCUAAUCAGCAAAAACUGAUUACUAGUUUUAACACCUAAUUACCCCAUCUAACCAAAGACCUUCCCUCACGUGCUCCCAUCAGCUUUUCCUGCAACUCUUGUUAAGGCCUGAUCACUUUGUCCCCUCCAUAUACCACAUGUCAUCCCCACAGCCUGCCACCCAUUAUCUACACAUAUAGAUACUAUCUUGGUGUCUAUACCGAAGACUUUGCCAAAAUAUUAUUAACUUAAUAUUUAUGAU